Molecule: small nucleolar RNA, 138 nt
Organism: Tachyglossus aculeatus (Australian echidna)
Lineage: Eukaryota; Metazoa; Chordata; Mammalia; Monotremata; Tachyglossidae
Source: RefSeq, a predicted model, not a curated record
CCCCACUCAGGGUCAAACUUGGAGAGUUUGCAGUACUCUACCAGUCUUGGCUAUGGGAGGGAGAGUCAAGCAGUGGCCUACCCAUUCCAUUCCUAGCUUGGGCAGUGGCUAGCAAGUGGAAGGCAAUCUGCCACAAGU